Molecule: ribosomal RNA, 549 nt
Filed under: uncultured Glomeromycotina
Lineage: Eukaryota; Fungi; Glomeromycota
Description: SSU rRNA
Rfam family: Eukaryotic small subunit ribosomal RNA
Source: RNAcentral
UUGGAGGGCAAGUCUGGUGCCAGCAGCCGCGGUAAUUCCAGCUCCAAUAGCGUAUAUUAAAGUUGUUGCAGUUAAAAAGCUCGUAGUUGAAUUUCGGGAUCAAUACGUCGGUCGUGCUUUUUUGGUACGCACUGGCGUCAUUGGUUUCUCCUUUCUGACGAACCAUGAUGUCAUUAAUUUGGUGUUAUGGGGAGUUAGGACUGUUACUUUGAAAAAAUUAGAGUGUUUAAAGCAGGCAUUAGCUUGAAUACAUUAGCAUGGAAUAAUGAAAUAGGACGUUCGAUCCUAUUUUGUUGGUUCCUAGGAUCAACGUAAUGAUUAAUAGGGAUAGUUGUGGGCAUUAGUAUUCAAUUGUCAGAGGUGAAAUUCUUGGAUUUAUUGAAGACUAACUACUGCGAAAGCAUUUGCCAAGGAUGUUUUCAUUAAUCAAGAACGAAAGUUAGGGGAUCGAAGACGAUCAGAUACCGCCGUAGUCUUAACCAUAAACUAUGCCGACUAGGGAUCGGAUGAUGUUAUUUUUAAUGACUUAUUCGGCGCCUUACGGGAAAC